This 77-nucleotide transfer RNA is filed under the name Pyrinomonadaceae bacterium. RNAcentral describes it as "tRNA-Pro". It matches the Rfam family "tRNA". Rfam says of the family: Transfer RNA (tRNA) molecules are approximately 80 nucleotides in length. Lineage: Bacteria; Pseudomonadati; Acidobacteriota; Blastocatellia; Blastocatellales; Pyrinomonadaceae. The record is from RNAcentral.
CUGCGCGCAGCCUAAUGGUUUCAGGCGCUUGUUUUGGGAACAAGAUAAUGGGAGUUCAAAUCUUUCCGCGCAGACCA